GUCCACUGUCAGUGUGAAGGUAUGUACGUUGCUACGUUGUCGUUCCUUGUCUGGAUAUGUAAAGACAGGUUGUCGUCAAUUUACUAUGCUGAGCCUGACUCAGCUAGUAUAACCAUGUGAUUGUAUCGCAAUCUCGGCAAAUUACAAAGAAUAACAACUUGUGUGUGAAGAUUGUAGAUUGUAAUUCCACCAGAAAUGAUACAGGAGUUUUACAGAGUGUGUAAUGUUUGGUAAACUGAAAGAUAUAAAAAUACAAUAUUU
This 261-nucleotide long non-coding RNA is filed under the name Mytilus galloprovincialis (Mediterranean mussel). The record is from RNAcentral. Lineage: Eukaryota; Metazoa; Mollusca; Bivalvia; Mytilida; Mytilidae.